CGCGAUCGUGGCGAACGGGUGAGUAACACGUGAGCAACCUGCCCCGGACUCUGGGAUAAGCGCUGGAAACGGCGUCUAAUACUGGAUACGAGCUGCGACCGCAUGGUCAGCAGUUGGAAAGAUUUUUCGGUCUGGGAUGGGCUCACGGCCUAUCAGCUUGUUGGUGAGGUAAUGGCUCACCAAGGCGUCGACGGGUAGCCGGCCUGAGAGGGUGACCGGCCACACUGGGACUGAGACACGGCCCAGACUCCUACGGGAGGCAGCAGUGGGGAAUAUUGCACAAUGGGCGAAAGCCUGAUGCAGCAACGCCGCGUGAGGGAUGACGGCCUUCGGGUUGUAAACCUCUUUUAGCAGGGAAGAAGCGAGAGUGACGGUACCUGCAGAAAAAGCGCCGGCUAACUACGUGCCAGCAGCCGCGGUAAUACGUAGGGCGCAAGCGUUAUCCGGAAUUAUUGGGCGUAAAGAGCUCGUAGGCGGUUUGUCGCGUCUGCUGUGAAAUCCCGAGGCUCAACCUCGGGCCUGCAGUGGGUACGGGCAGACUAGAGUGCGGUAGGGGAGAUUGGAAUUCCUGGUGUAGCGGUGGAAUGCGCAGAUAUCAGGAGGAACACCGAUGGCGAAGGCAGAUCUCUGGGCCGUAACUGACGCUGAGGAGCGAAAGGGUGGGGAGCAAACAGGCUUAGAUACCCUGGUAGUCCACCCCGUAAACGUUGGGAACUAGUUGUGGGGUCCAUUCCACGGAUUCCGUGACGCAGCUACGCAUUAAGUUCCCCGCUGGGGAGUACGGCCGCAGGCUAAAACUCAAAGGAAUUGACGGGGACCCCGCACAAGCGGCGGGAGCA
RNAcentral lists this ribosomal RNA (839 nucleotides) under Microbacterium sp. RNAcentral's name for it is "bacterial SSU rRNA". It matches the Rfam family "Bacterial small subunit ribosomal RNA", at positions 88 to 939 of the family's 1533-position model. Lineage: Bacteria; Bacillati; Actinomycetota; Actinomycetes; Micrococcales; Microbacteriaceae. The record is from RNAcentral.